RNAcentral lists this ribosomal RNA (254 nucleotides) under uncultured bacterium. RNAcentral's name for it is "partial 16S ribosomal RNA". It matches the Rfam family "Bacterial small subunit ribosomal RNA", at positions 524 to 776 of the family's 1533-position model. The record is from RNAcentral.
UACAGAGGUCCCGAGCGUUGUUCGGAUUCACUGGGCGUAAAGGGCGCGUAGGCGGUCAGCACAAGUCAGUUGUGAAAUCUCCGGGCUUAACUCGGAAAGGUCAACUGAUACUGUGCGACUAGAGUGCGGAAGGGGCAACUGGAAUUCUCGGUGUAGCGGUGAAAUGCGUAGAUAUCGAGAGGAACACCUGCGGCGAAGGCGGGUUGCUGGGCCGACACUGACGCUGAUGCGCGAAAGCCAGGGGAGCGAACGGG